CCAGACUCCUACGGGAGGCAGCAGUGGGGAAUAUUGCACAAUGGGGGAAACCCUGAUGCAGCGGCGCCGCGUGAGCGAGGAAGUAUUUCGGUAUGUAAAGCUCUGUCAGCAGGGAAGAAGAAUGACGGUACCUGAAGAAGAAGCACCGGCUAAAUACGUGCCAGCAGCCGCGGUAAUACGUAUGGUGCAAGCGUUAUCCGGAUUUACUGGGUGUAAAGGGAGCGCAGGCGGUUCUGCAAGUCUGAUGUGAAAGCCCGGGGCUCAACCGCGGGACUGCAUUGGAAACUGCGGGACUGGAGUGUCGGAGGGGUAAGCGGAAUUCCUGGUGUAGCGGUGAAAUGCGUAGAUAUCAGGAGGAACACCGGCGGCGAAGGCGGCCUGCUGGACCGUAACUGACGUUGAGGCUCGAAAGCGUGGGGAGCAAACAGGAUUAGAUACCCGCGUAUG
RNAcentral lists this ribosomal RNA (447 nucleotides) under uncultured bacterium. Its description in RNAcentral is "partial 16S ribosomal RNA". It matches the Rfam family "Bacterial small subunit ribosomal RNA", at positions 331 to 793 of the family's 1533-position model. The record is from RNAcentral.